Molecule: small nuclear RNA, 156 nt
Organism: Protopterus annectens (West African lungfish)
Lineage: Eukaryota; Metazoa; Chordata; Ceratodontiformes; Protopteridae
Product: U1 spliceosomal RNA
Exons: 1
Source: RefSeq, a predicted model, not a curated record
AUAACUGCAGGAGAAUCCUGGAUCAAGAAGGUGGUUUCCACCAGGGUGAGAAUCUUCCAUUGCACUUCAGUUGGGCUGGCUCCUGUGAUCUCCCCAAAUGUAUGAAACUCAACUGCAUCAUUUCUGGUAGUUGGGAACUGUGUUCUCAGUGUCUGG